RNAcentral lists this transfer-messenger RNA (404 nucleotides) under bacterium. It matches the Rfam family "transfer-messenger RNA". Rfam says of the family: Bacterial tmRNA, also known as 10Sa RNA or SsrA, is named for its dual tRNA and mRNA-like properties. Its role is to liberate the mRNA from a stalled ribosome. The record is from RNAcentral.
GGGGAUGACAGGCAUAGACAUAUGGUCUCCUUCUUUCUGCGCAUUGUGGAACUCCGGUAAUUCCUUAAACUGCCGGAACAAUUAAGUGCAAAAUCCUUAAUUUCAAAAGCCAAGUCCAUCGUCUCGCCGUAUUUCGGCGAACGUGAGCUCGCUUUCGCUUACGCUUCGGCGUAGGCGACGCUUAUCUUCCCGACGUCCGAUAGGGAUACGUAAGUGUUAUAUAUUCGGAAUCGAGCGUGUUCCCUUCUCGGCUCACGCUUUAACCAAAGAGAAUCGGUGCCAAGACAUUCUGUUAAUCUUAUAGUCUUGGUGCUCAAAGUCCGCAAGGACAAGAUUAACUAGACAAUGUAGAACCGGAAAAAAGAAUCAUGUGCACGGGAGUUCGAUUCUCCCCUUCUCCACAU